CCGCCCUUAAAGGGCCAAGCUGCUGUGAGGGCCGAGGGUAGUCGCGGGGGAUGCCCUUGGCCCAAAAAUGACAGUUGUGCCGCUGGGCGCCGCGGUUCCUAGGGAGCUCCGGGGAACGGGACCACUGGCCCUAGAGCUGUCGGCGCCUUCCCUUUUCCUCUCCCCAUGUGUAGCCACAGGCUUCGGCAGCCAUCCUCCGUCGAACCCUGGUCCUCUGCAGGCCUCUCCCCGUGACACAAAGUCCUUGCCCCGGCCCUGCACUUAAUAGGUCCUUGCCAAGAAUACGCUGAGCUAGGACAAGAAGAUUGCUGACCUGGAAAUGUGGGAGAUGAUGUUGACACCUUUAAUAACAAGGAUGUCAAUGAUUUGACUGAUUGGUGCCCUCUGGUGGUAAAGAAAACGGGACACACGCCUUCAGUCUGUAUGGCAUCACCUGGUGCUCUUCAAGAGAGGGCUCUCUUGAAGAAUUCUUUCUUCCAAAGAGAAAUGAUAUGGAAAUCUUGAAAGAUAAAUGAGAGGAUUUCAGAAGUUUAUUUAUUAGGGAGGGAAGAGGUAUAAAGAAACUUCAGUUAUCUGAUACAAGCUCAGUAGGGGCAGGUCUCUGUCACUAUCACACACAAGGAGGGAUGAAUUGCAAGAGGAGGAUUUUCA
Canis lupus familiaris (dog) is the source of this 651-nucleotide long non-coding RNA. RefSeq lists it as uncharacterized. The record is from RefSeq and is a predicted model, not a curated record. Lineage: Eukaryota; Metazoa; Chordata; Mammalia; Carnivora; Canidae. The transcript has 4 exons.